CAGGUCCAACAGAGGUGGGCUUCCACAACUUGGAUCAGGUCGUGGCGGCGCUAGUAAUGGUGGAUUGCGAUGCAGUAUGCCUAAUUAAACUACAUGGAUGUUAGAAACAGCAAACAGCUAUCUUAAUAAAUUUAUUGACAUUCUUAAAUACAAAGGGACAAAUAAGUUUUACUAUAUUUACAUAUAAAUUAUAAAUUGCUUACAUUUAGAUAUGUUAUUAUUAUCAUUGGUUACAAGUGCUCACAUGUAACUAUAUAUGUAUGUACCUUUAGUUAAUGAUUUAUGCUUGAACCGUUUCAAGUUAAGAAAUCUCUCAAAUACAAUAUCAAGUGAGGUAAGUGAAUACGAGUCACGCAGCAAAAAAUAAUAUGAGCCGCUUCAUGACAAAAGCAGCGUUUGCGGCCAGCAUGGAUCCAGACCAGCCUGCGCAGAUAGGAUCCAUGCUGUUCGCUUAUA
This is a long non-coding RNA of Ruditapes philippinarum (Manila clam), 456 nucleotides long. RefSeq lists it as uncharacterized. The record is from RefSeq and is a predicted model, not a curated record. The transcript is spliced from 3 exons. NCBI's taxonomy places the organism in Eukaryota, Metazoa, Mollusca, Bivalvia, Venerida, Veneridae.